AAACAACAAAAUUCCUACACUCCACCAAUCUGCAGCCUUAUCAUGGCCCUUCCCAAGAACAAUCUCCGGUGACAUGUACUCUACUGUUCCACACAUGGAGUUUGAUCUUGUGUCCUCUUUGAAUUCCUUGGCAAGUCCAAAAUCAGUCAACAUGGCCUACAACAAGUUAGGGGACCGAGGAAAUUAAAUUGAUAACCUUUACAUGCAAAGAAGAGAAAAUCAGAUGUGUGAAGACGCUAGUCCAUCCACACACAGAAACUGAGAGAGGGGAGAGGUGAAUAUACAUGGCCAUCCACAUCCACUAGAAUGUUUUCCGGUUUGAGAUCCCUGUGCAUUAUUCCAUUUGCAUGAAGG
RNAcentral lists this long non-coding RNA (354 nucleotides) under Solanum tuberosum (potato). RNAcentral describes it as "long non-coding RNA (STUB_LNC010153)". The record is from RNAcentral. Lineage: Eukaryota; Viridiplantae; Streptophyta; Magnoliopsida; Solanales; Solanaceae.